This 495-nucleotide ribosomal RNA is filed under the name uncultured bacterium. Its description in RNAcentral is "partial 16S ribosomal RNA". It matches the Rfam family "Bacterial small subunit ribosomal RNA", at positions 28 to 507 of the family's 1533-position model. The record is from RNAcentral.
GACGAACGCUGGCGGCGUGCCUAAUACAUGCAAGUAGAACGCUGAAGGAGGAGCUUGCUUCUCCGGAUGAGUUGCGAACGGGUGAGUAACGCGUAGGUAACCUGCCUGGUAGCGGGGGAUAACUAUUGGAAACGAUAGCUAAUACCGCAUAACAGUAGAUAUCGCAUGAUAUCUGCUUGAAAGGUGCAAUUGCAUCACUACCAGAUGGACCUGCGUUGUAUUAGCUAGUUGGUGAGGUAACGGCUCACCAAGGCGACGAUACAUAGCCGACCUGAGAGGGGGGUCGGCCACACUGGGACUGAGACACGGCCCAGACUCCUACGGGAGGCAGCAGUAGGGAAUCUUCGGCAAUGGACGGAAGUCUGACCGAGAAACGCCGCGUGAGUGAAGAAGGUUUUCGGAUCGUAAAGCUCUGUUGUAAGAGAAGAACGAGUGUGAGAGUGGAAAGUUCACACUGUGACGGUAUCUUACCAGAAAGGGACGGCUAACUACGUG